UGGAAACCGGGCGACCGGCAUCUUGGCAGCGGGUUUCUGUUACGUGGGCUUUCUCGUCAGCCCAGAGUUCUGUAAUGUGACAGUUGCUGCAAGGGACAGUCUUCAGGGAUUGUUGCUUUGAAGGAACAGCUUUCGCAGUGCCUUGGGUGCCCUGCAGUGGGUCUGCUUUCCCAGGGAACCCUGGAUCUUGGGGGUGCUUCCUGUCCUCUCCAGGAUACCCAUCUGCAUCACUUAAAUGAGCCAAGUGAGUCACUUGCUUCCUGAACACAAUCUCCACUCCUCCUACCCACUGCAUAGAUCUGCUGCCCAAGACCUUUGAUGAUCUUGAAAAGCAACUGUGAGGAACAGGAGAAAAUAUAUUUACACUUAGGAUUGCCAGCAGACGGCCCAUUCCCUCAUGGAUGGAGACAAAGCUGGGAUCUUGGAGAACUGCAUGGCAGUGACCCUCUGCUCACCCCGCGGGGCUGAGUCCUGAGUGGGUUUUCACCACAGUUCUGUGCACCUGGAGAUGGGGCAAUAAGGUGAAGCAUGUGACUAUCAGUCAUCACUGCUGAUGCUCCAAACAGAGGUUAUGCCUGUGUGUGUGAGCAGCAGGGACUGACUGACCUGAGACCUGAGGGACCAGCCUCCCCCACAUCUGUUAAUAAAAAGGGACAGAAGAGCAAGCACUGGCCAGGUGCACGCUGCCCAGAGCGCCUGUGGGAAUUCUGACUGCCGUUCCUUCUGCUGCCUCAUAAGAGCUGCCUAGCUAUCCUCAGGGGAAGAGAAAUUAAAUAAAAAUAAAUGAGGUAUAAGUAGCUGUCUUGGAAAA
This is a long non-coding RNA of Marmota flaviventris (yellow-bellied marmot), 811 nucleotides long. RefSeq lists it as uncharacterized. NCBI's taxonomy places the organism in Eukaryota, Metazoa, Chordata, Mammalia, Rodentia, Sciuridae. The record is from RefSeq and is a predicted model, not a curated record.